GACGAACGCUGGCGGCGUGCUUAACUCAUGCAAGUCGUACGGAAAGGCCCUGCUUUUGUGGGGUGCUCGAGUGGCGAACGGGUGAGUAACACGUGAGUAACCUGCCCUUGACUUUUGGAUAACUUCAGGAAACUGGGGCUAAUACCGGAUAGGAGCUCCUGCUGCAUGGUGGGGGUUGGAAAGUUUCGGCGGUUGGGGAUGGACUCGCGGCUUAUCAGCUUGUUGGUGGGGUAGUGGCUUACCAAGGCUUUGACGGGUAGCCGGCCUGAGAGGGUGACCGGCCACAUUGGGACUGAGAUACGGCCCAGACUCCUACGGGAGGCAGAAGUGGGGAAUAUUGCACAAUGGGCGGAAGCCUGAUGCAGCAACGCCGCGUGCGGGAUGACGGCCUUCGGGUUGUAAACCGCUUUCGCCUGUGACGAAGCGUGAGUGACGGUAAUGGGUAGAGAAGCACCGGCUAACUACGUG
Molecule: ribosomal RNA, 468 nt
Filed under: uncultured bacterium
Lineage: Bacteria
Description: partial 16S ribosomal RNA
Rfam family: Bacterial small subunit ribosomal RNA
Source: RNAcentral